This is an unclassified non-coding RNA of Octopus bimaculoides (California two-spot octopus), 3524 nucleotides long. The record is from RefSeq and is a predicted model, not a curated record. NCBI's taxonomy places the organism in Eukaryota, Metazoa, Mollusca, Cephalopoda, Octopoda, Octopodidae.
GCACAAUCCUACUUCCGUUUCCGUCAUCAGAUUAAAAGUGUUAGUUUCCUAAAGUCCUUUUCAUCAAUUUUUAAUACAAUUUAUAAUACAUUGCUCAACCACCACACACACACUUAUAACAACUUUAUCCUUUAUAAAGAAGAUUUCCAAUAUCAGAUGACAUUGGCAUAACAGAAAAUAUACAAAGCAGAUAUAUUACAUUGUGUCUAUAAAUAUGUCAUAGAUUUCUAUGAAAUAUUUGUUCUAAUCUGAUAUUAUUAGCAGCAUUUUUGCACUUCACUGAUUGGAGUGCCAAGAAGAUGAGAUUGUGUACUAAGUAAACUUGGAUACAAGUGUUGCUAGAGAAAGAAACCAGUGGAAGUAUUUGUAAGAUUAAACAAUAAGAAGAAACACAAGAAAAGUAUAUUUACAUUGUGAUUUGACAAAAAUAAUAAUGGAAAAGAAUGAGAAGCUUAAAGAAUUGAUUUCCCAUGAAGAUGUGAUAAAAGGGAGAGGAAAGUUAUCAUAUGAUUGUGAUGUCUGUGGUAAUCCAUUCUCUCAAAAUACUUACUUAGAUGAACACAAACAUAUUCAUACACAAGAAAAACCAUAUCAAUGUGAUAUUUGUGGUAAAUCAUUUGUUGAAUGUCAAAAAUUAACUUUACAUAAACGUAUUCACUCAAAAGAGAAGCAGUAUCAUUGUGAUGUCUGUGGUAAAUCAUUCUUUGAAAAUAGUGCCUUAACGAAACACAGACGUAUUCAUACAGGAGAAAAACGAUAUCAUUGUGAUAUCUGUGGCAAAUCUUUCACUGAAAAUAGCAGCUUAACUACACACAAACGUAUUCAUACAGGAGAGAGACCAUUUCACUGUAAUAUCUGUGGUAAAUCAUUCUCUAACAGUAGUCACUUAAUUGUGCAUAAACGUAUUCAUACAGGCGAGAAGCCAUAUCAUUGUGAUAUUUGUGACAAAUCAUUCACUGUCAGCAGUUCUUUAACUACACACAAACGUCUUCAUUCAGGAGGGAAACCAUAUCAUUGUGAUAUCUGUGACAAAUCAUUCACUUUCAGCAGUUCUUUAACUGAACACAAACGUCUUCAUACAGGAGAGAGACCAUAUCAUUGUGAUGUCUGUGGUAAAUCCUUCAAUAAGAGUGAUACUUUAACUAAACAUAAACGUAUUCACACAGGCGAAAAACCAUUUCACUGUGAAAUCUGUGGCAAAUCAUUCACUGAAAAUUGCAGCUUAACUACACACAAACGUAUUCAUACAGGAGAAAAACCGUAUCAUUGUGAUAUCUGCGGCAAAUCAUUCGCUAUCAGUUGUGCUUUAACUUCACACAAACGUCUUCAUUCAGGAGACAAGCCAUAUCAUUGUGACAUCUGUGACAAAUCAUUCACUCUCCGCAGUUCUUUAACUGAACACAAACGUCUUCAUUCAGGAGAGAGACCGUAUCAUUGUGAUGUCUGUGGUAAAUCCUUCAAUAAGAGUAAUACUUUAACUAAACAUGAACGUAUUCACACAGGCGAAAAGCCAUAUCAUUGUGAUAUCUGUGGUAAAUCAUUCACUGUAAAUAGCAGUUUAAUUACACACAAACGUAUUCAUACAGGAGAGAAGCCAUAUCAUUGUGAUGUUUGUCGUAAAUCAUUCUCUAGCAGUAGUCAUUUAACUGUACAUAAACGUAUUCAUACAGGUGAGAAGCCAUAUCAUUGUGAUAUCUGUGGCAAAUCAUUCUCUGAAAAUGGCAACUUAACUGCACACAAACAUAUUCAUACAGGCAAGAAGCCAUAUCAUUGUGAUGUCUGUGGCAAAUCAUUUAAUGCAAGUGGUAAACUAAUUAUGCACGAACUUAUUCAUGCAGGAGAGAGAGUGUAACAUUGUGCUAUCUGUGGUAAAUCAUUCACAUUGUUCUCUAUAAAUAGUAACUUAACUAGACACAAGUGUAUUCACACCAGAGAGAAACCAUAUCAAAGUGAUGUCUACUAAAUCAUUGUCUGACCAUUAUGCCUUCACUUCAUACAAAUGUGAAGCUAUUUCACUGAUAAAUUAUUCACUGAAAAUAGUAAAUUAACUGCACACAAAUGUAUUCAUACAGGGGAGAAAGGAAAAGGCUACUUUGUAUGGAUUCUUUUGUAAACUUUUUUUAAAAAAUAUUCCUGUGUAUCAUGUAACUGACAUUACGACUCUGAAAAAAUGCUUUUCCAGAAAUUCGAGUUUCUUUUUGUCUUUUUUUGAAAAAUUUCUCCCAGCUUCCUCCUUUACUUCCAUUCCCGUUUCAUUUCCCAUGAUGUAGGGACCUCUAUACUGAAAUUCCUCCUGGCAACCCUACACAUGGCUUUGUUAAGUAUCACUUCCUAAUUUACUGUAUAUUUAUUCAUUAUUAAAUUUUAAAUACUUCACCCCUUAAAUGUGUUAACAGUUAGGUAUGUUAGGGGUUCUUUCAAACACAGAAAUGCAGCAAAAUUGUCAAAUAUAUAAAAAAACAAUGACCUCCAGUACGAAAUCGAAGACACCACAAAAACAUGGGGCAUAUCUAUGGUCUAGGGCCCUACAACAGAUUAUAUUCUCUUAACUUUCUGAAGAAUUGGUUUUUAAAUUAAACUUAGCAGCUUUCAAGGGUCUAGAUUACAAUUAUCUUAACAUAACUGAUGAAAAAAAGUUUUCCAAGUAGAUUGUGAUCCUUCUCAACUCCACUCUGCUUUUGUCAGAGUCAUAUCCCAUGAAAUUAGGAAGAGAGUUGGCCUAGAUGUGAUGUACUUUCGUUUUGUGCUAACUUCCUAGUAAGGUAAAAUUUCAACAAAUUUGCUGACCAUUCGCAUUGUUAUAUUCCUCAAAAUAUUCAUCCAAAUUUCACAACUGCGCUAACAAAAUGUUUCUUUUUGGAUGAUCCUCUCAAAUAAGAAGUAAAGUAGAUAUUACAUUUAGAUACUUUCAAAAAUCCAUAGUGAUACCCAUUACCAUUUAACCAGAUGUCAUAAAUACACAGAAAAACGUACAAUCACAAUAGAAUGCUACUUAAAGGGAGAUAACAAGUCUUAUCUGCUAAUAGUAUUACAGAUGAAAAAUGCGCAUGCGCAAUAUACAUACCUUCGUUUCUUGGCAUCAGAUUAGAAAUGUUCGUCGCAUGAAUAUCUCUUCAUCAUCUUUUAAUUCGUUUCUCAACCAACACACACAGUUUAUAGUAACUAUGUCCAUAUCAAGCAUUCACGAUAUCAAAUGACUUUGGCAUCAUAGAAGAUACAUUGUCAAUAUUUAUCAUCUUUUGAAACUGAAAGAAAAUGAUAUACAAAGCAGAUAUAUAACACUUUCUAUAAAUAUGUUGUGGAUUUCUGUGAAAUAUUUCUUCUAAUCUGAUAUGAUUAGCAAAAUUUCUGCACAUCACUGACUGGAGUGCUAAGAAGAUGAGUUUGUGUGCUUGGAUACAUUUACAUAAAUGUUAUUAGAGCAGGGAAACAGUGGACAGAAAUCAGGAGUGAAAGUAUUUGUAAGAUUAAAUAACAAGAAGAAAAACAAGAAAAUUAUAUUUACAUUGUCGAUUGAGAAAAAU